AUUGAACGCUGGCGGCAGGCUUAACACAUGCAAGUCGAGCGGGGGAAGGUAGCUUGCUACUGGACCUAGCGGCGGACGGGUGAGUAAUGCUUAGGAAUCUGCCUAUUAGUGGGGGACAACAUCUCGAAAGGGAUGCUAAUACCGCAUACGUCCUACGGGAGGAAGCAGGGGAUCUUCGGACCUUGCGCUAAUAGAUGAGCCUAAGUCGGAUUAGCUAGUUGGUGGGGUAAAGGCCUACCAAGGCGACGAUCUGUAGCGGGUCUGAGAGGAUGAUCCGCCACACUGGGACUGAGACACGGCCCAGACUCCUACGGGAGGCAGCAGUGGGGAAUAUUGGACAAUGGGGGGAACCCUGAUCCAGCCAUGCCGCGUGUGUGAAGAAGGCCUUAUGGUUGUAAAGCACUUUAAGCGAGGAGGAGGCUACUUUAGUUAAUACCUAGAGAUAGUGGACGUUACUCGCAGAAUAAGCACCGGCUAACUCUGUGCCAGCAGCCGCGGUAAUACAGAGGGUGCGAGCGUUAAUCGGAUUUACUGGGCGUAAAGCGUGC
RNAcentral lists this ribosomal RNA (548 nucleotides) under Acinetobacter baumannii OIFC189. Its description in RNAcentral is "bacterial SSU rRNA". It matches the Rfam family "Bacterial small subunit ribosomal RNA", at positions 28 to 570 of the family's 1533-position model. The record is from RNAcentral. Lineage: Bacteria; Pseudomonadati; Pseudomonadota; Gammaproteobacteria; Moraxellales; Moraxellaceae.